This 313-nucleotide long non-coding RNA is filed under the name Ananas comosus (pineapple). RNAcentral describes it as "long non-coding RNA (ACOM_LNC040908)". Lineage: Eukaryota; Viridiplantae; Streptophyta; Magnoliopsida; Poales; Bromeliaceae. The record is from RNAcentral.
AUAUCCUGAUUUCGUUUUUUUUAUUUCCAUUAUCCCCCUAUUAACUCUCUAUUAAAAUAUAUAGAAAAAAACUUCAGAUGCCUCUGUGGUUUAUCGAAUAUUUACUUUACUAUCUUAUAGUUUACGAUAUCUUUAUUUUAGUAUCUUAUAGUUUUAACUUUCUCAUUAAUUUAACGAAAAAAUUAACAGAGUGGAUAACGAAAAGAGAAAAGCGAAAUUACAGGGUACUAAAGUGAAACAGUUUAAAGCACUAAAAUUAAAAAGUGCUGAACCACAGGGUGAUAUUUGAAGUUUUUUUUGUUAUAAUAAGUUG